AACCUGGUUGAUCCUGCCAGUAGUCAUAUGCUUGUCUCAAAGAUUAAGCCAUGCAUGUCUAAGUAUAAAUAGUAUACAGUGAAACUGCGAAUGGCUCAUUAAAACAGUUAUAGUUUACUUGAUAAUUGAAUUCUACAUGGAUAACCGUGGUAAUUCUAGGGCUAAUACAUGCGGCAAAACCCAACUUUUCGGAAGGGUUGUAUUUAUUAGAUAACAAACCAAUAUUCCUUCGGGUCUAUUGUGAUGAUUCAUAGUAACUGAUCGGAGCGCGACUCUGUUGCGCUAAAUCAUUCAAGUUUCUGCCCUAUCAGCUUUCGAUGGUAGUGUAUUGGACUACCAUGGCAGUCACGGGUAACGGGGAAUUAGGGUUCGAUUCCGGAGAGGGAGCCUGAGAAACGGCUACCACAUCUAAGGAAGGCAGCAGGCGCGUAAAUUACCCAAUCCUAAUUCAGGGAGGUAGUGACAAGAAAUAACAAACCGGGUUCUUACGAACUUUGGGAUUGCAAUGAGCACAAUUUAAAUCUCUUAGCAAGGAACAAUUGGAGGGCAAGUCUGGUGCCAGCAGCCGCGGUAAUUCCAGCUCCAAUAGCGUAUAUUAAAGUUGUUGCAGUUAAAAAGCUCGUAGUUGAACUUCUGGGCGUUUGUACAGCGGCUCCGGUCGAGGUAUAGGCGUUCAUCCGUCUGAGAACCAUAUACGGCCUUUGGUGGUCGGUGUGAGGAUCAGGCACUUUACUUUGAAAAAAUUAGAGUGUUCCAGGCAGGCAAUCGCCUUGAAUACACAAGCAUGGAAUAAUGGAAUAGGACUAUGGUCCAUUUUGUUGGUUAUUGNGCUAUAGUAAUGAUUAACACGAACGGCCGGGGUGAUUUGUAUUUAAUAGUCAGAGGUGAAAUUCUUGGAUUUAUUAAAGACAAACUAAAGCGAACGCUUUUCACAAGAGCGUUUUCAUUAAUCAAGAACGAAAGUUAGGGGGAUCAAGACGAUCAGAUACCGUCCUAGUCUUAACCAUAAACUAUCCCGACCCUAGUCUUAACCAUAAACUAUUCCGACUAGGGAUUGGUCGGGUCUUUCAAGCCCGAUCAGCACCUUAUGAGAAAUCAAAGUCUUUGGGUUCCGGGGGGAGUAUGGUCGCAAGGCUGAAACUUAAAGGAAUUGACGGAAGGGCACCACCAGGAGUGGAGCCUGCGGCUUAAUUUGACUCAACACGGGGAAACUCACCAGCGCAAAACAUGGGUGGGAUUGACAGAUUGAGAGCUCUUUCUUGAUUCUAUGGGUGGUGGUGCAUGGCCGUUCUUAGUUGGUGGAGUGAUUUGUCUGGUUAAUUCCGUUAACGAACGAGACCUUAACCUGCUAACUAGUCUCCUUAUGAACAAUGGGGAGGACUUCUUAGAGGGACUAUGUGAACAAACACAUGGAAGUUUGAGGCAAUAACAGGUCUGUGAUGCCCUUAGAUGUGCUGGGCCGCACGCGCGCUACAAUGAUACGUUCAGCAAGUUCUAUCCUGGUCCGGAAGGAUUCGGGUAAUCUUGGCAACGCGUAUCGUGCUGGGGAUCGAUCUUUGCAAUUAUAGAUCUUGAACGAGGAAUUCCUAGUAAGUGCAAGUCAUCAGCUUGUACUGAUUAUGUCCCUGCCCUUUGUACACACCGCCCGUCGCUCCUACCGAUUUCGAGUGAUCCGGUGAACCUUCUGGACCGAAUUAGUCUUUACGUCUAAAUUGGGAAGUUAAGUAAACCUUAUCACUUAGAGGAAAGAGAAGUCGACACAAGGUUUCCGUAGGUGAACCUGCAGAAGGAUCA
RNAcentral lists this ribosomal RNA (1794 nucleotides) under Coleps hirtus hirtus. Its description in RNAcentral is "SSU rRNA". It matches the Rfam family "Eukaryotic small subunit ribosomal RNA". The record is from RNAcentral. Lineage: Eukaryota; Ciliophora; Prostomatea; Prorodontida; Colepidae.